GGAAGGGGCUGGGAAAUGGGAAGAGGUCACUCUGCCUCGGAAACUACAUAACGACUGGGAAGGACCUCCAAACAAGACUGGAACCAGUAGGAAGUUGUACAGUGGGAAGAAGAGGGUGGUCAAGAUUGACUGGCUGGAAGAUGAGAGAGCUCCCUCCUGAUGGUUUCUACUUGCCUUUGAAAUUCAUCAGCUAAGGGUCAAAGAGAGGAACAGAAGAGUAAAUCAGAAAAGGAAAUGGCCACUACUGUCUAAUUAGAUGGUACCCUCUGAGAUGGAGAGAUUACAUCCCCAACUCAUCUACGUCAUGUUUAAAGAUCUGAAUGUUCACUUCAGCUCCUGUUGCAUCUUAAUGGAGGCUGCUUGUGCAAAAUGACGUUUGGC
This is a long non-coding RNA of Balaenoptera musculus (blue whale), 381 nucleotides long. RefSeq lists it as uncharacterized. NCBI's taxonomy places the organism in Eukaryota, Metazoa, Chordata, Mammalia, Artiodactyla, Balaenopteridae. The record is from RefSeq and is a predicted model, not a curated record. The transcript is spliced from 3 exons.